Molecule: long non-coding RNA, 1656 nt
Organism: Pogona vitticeps (central bearded dragon)
Lineage: Eukaryota; Metazoa; Chordata; Lepidosauria; Squamata; Agamidae
Source: Ensembl
AUGAAUGGUUUUUAUUCAAGGUACUUCGCCAUUUCCAAAAAAGACGGUGGCAUAAGACCCAUUUUGGACUUAAGAACACUCAACACUUACCUUUGUCCCCGCCGCUUCCAGAUGGUGACAUUGGAAUCAAUAAUCCACCUGCUGCACAAAAACAACUGGUUUGUGGUAACAGAUCGGAAAGAUGCCUAUUUCCACAUAACCAUUCACCCCAGUCAUUGCAAGUUCCUGUGGUUCAUAUUUCAAAACAAUGUCUACCAGUUCCUAGCUCUACCAUUUGGACUUUCGACAGCUCCGCGCACAUUUACGAAAUAUAUGGCCCCGGUAGCAGCAUACCUGCGUCUGAAUGGGGUGAAAAUCUACCCUUAUAUAGACGACUGGCUAGAGGUCUCAUCUUCCAGAAGCCAAGCCUUGAAGGACACAAGUUUCAUUCUCCAUGUUUUACACAACCUGGGUCUUACAGUAAACCGCAAGAAAUCCCGCCUCAUACCUUCACAGGUUGUAGAUUACAUCGGAGCCACAAUAGAUGCCACCGUGGGUUGCAUCUUCCUUCCAGCAGAACGCAUUAAAAAGCUGCAAAAGGCCAUCAAGAAAUUUUGUCCGAAGGCCUGGGUGUCUGCAAAACAUGCUCAGCACCUGCUAGGGCUGAUGGCAUCCACGACACCUGCCCUAGCCCACGCUUGUCUCAAACUCAGGUCUCUUCAAAUUUGGCUCCUCUCACUGUUCAAUGUGCUUUCGGAUCACCCCAAGAAGCAUCUCAAGGUGACCCGGGAGCUAGCACAGCAGCUUCGGUGGUGGACUUUCAUACCUCACCUCAGGAUAGGCCGACCAUUUACACCCCUUCGACUGACUGUGCAGGUGACCACCGAUGCAAGUCCCACAGGAUGGGGAACACAUUGCGGGCAGCAUCGCAUUCAUGCUCUAUGGUCAUCACAAGAACGAAUUCUCCACAUAAAUCAUCUGGAGUUAAUUGCCGCCAUAAAGGCCUUCAAAUCCUUCCUUCCACUGAUAUAUGGUUGUGGUGUUCAGGUAGUGACAGACAACACCACGACCAUGUAUUAUAUAAACAAACAAGGAGGAACCCACUCCCAGUUGCUUUUUUACCUGGCCGUGCACCUCUGGGAGUGGUGCUGUCACAGACAAAUCUUUCCGGUAGCAGUCCACCUUGCAACAGGGGACAAUAUAUUGGCAGACGAACUGAGCCGUCGCACCACCCAAACACACGAAUGGGAGCUCCACAACAGGACAUUUGUAGAUCUGUGUCGUCUUUGGGCAACUCCACAAGUAGACAUCUUUGCCACUUACCGCAACAAGAAGUGCCAAUUAUACGUGUCGCGAGGAGGUCUAGGAAUCGAUUCUCUGGGAGACGCGUUUAUGAUACCAUGGACAUUCCGCCUUAUGUACCUGUUCCCACUGCCCCCUCUGGUUCAGGGAACUCUAGUGAAGCUUCAUCAGGAGUCAGGGGAUGCAAUUCUGAUUGCGCCCUUUUGGCCUCCACAACCGUGGUUUCCUCUGCUGUUGGAAAUGGCCACGGAAUACAUGACACUUCGCCUUUCACCAUACCUGUUGUCACAGAGUAUGGGCGCAGUCCUUCACCCAGAACCAGAGACUUUACAUCGGACCGUGUGGAGGAUAUCCCAGAGAUUAGAGAAGUCCUAG